RNAcentral lists this long non-coding RNA (1230 nucleotides) under Bos indicus x Bos taurus (hybrid cattle). Its description in RNAcentral is "lncRNA (ENSBIXG00005016749.1)". Lineage: Eukaryota; Metazoa; Chordata; Mammalia; Artiodactyla; Bovidae. The record is from RNAcentral.
AUGGUCGUUGCUUUUAAGUUUCAAACCGACAUUCCAGGCGGGUUGUGUCUGAGCCAGCCUCGGGCUUUCAGACCUUCACAGCCUGGUCCUGAGAAGGUAGAGCUCUCAGCUUCUCCCUGGUCACCCCAGACCGUGCUGCCAGUCUCAGCUGGCUUCGGGGCUGCCGGUUCUCUCCUCCCACUGCGGCGUGUCAGGGCAGAGCCAUCCCGUGAGGAGCCUGGGGACAGCUGACCAAACAGAGAGCAUCGGUAGACAGCUGAGCUGCCACGGUCAUGGUCGUGGUCAUGAGCCCACAGCCCAGGACCACUUGCCAUUGGUGAUGCUCGGGUGUGUGUCACAAUCAUUUGGGCACUUGUGAAAAGAGACAUCCCUGGGUCCCAUUGCCAGAGUUUCUGAUUUCGAAGGUCUAGGGCACACCCUGAAAAUCUGCAUUUAUGAAAAUUCUCAGAUGAUACUGUUGGUCCAGAGGUCCAUAUUGAGGACCAUUAGUUAGGGCCAUGGGCCAAGGGUGAAAACCUAAAGGCCUAAAGAUUGUCUCUGUUGUCCCCUUUAAUGCUGAGAUUCCCUUCAUACGUUUUAGUCCAACUUUAGAACUAAAACCAGCCUUUCAGAAAGACCUUUGCAUCCCUUCGUAACAGUAUAGCAAGGUUACCUGUAACUUUGACCUUUUACAAUGUCAACCAGACUAUAGAUCUGCUAAAAUGUUUUUGAGGUUUAAUUCUUUGAAAAGAGGAUUUUUUUAUGGAUAGAGAAGGUGACCAAGGGGAGGGGUAUUGACUAAACUAGGAAAUAAUUGAGUGAGGCCGUGUCCUUGGGCUGCCCACCCUUGUCUCCAUUUGUGGAAACCUUCAGUAUUAACAGAGGGAGGUAUGUUGUGGGUCCCUUUUGGUACCAAAAGGUGGACAAAUUUCCGAGAUCCUCAGGGCUCAGGGUCAAUCACCCAUGAACUCCUGUUCAUCCUAGAAGGUGGAGGAGUGUCACGAUCAGGAUGCUGGACUGGAGGCUGAGUGCUACCAGGUACCAGCUGGUGGCUGAACUUCCCCUGCCUCCCAGGUGAGAAAGAUGCUCCUGUAGCAGCAGUCUGAGAGGGCAGAUGCUCACAGAAAGCACACAUCCAGACUAGUAUCUGGGAUGGGAUGGGAUGAGCUCAACAAACAAUGAACUACAGGAUGCUGCUUGUGUUUGUGGCAGCCCUGGGACAGGCUCGCACUCUGCUGAUGGCUUUGUUAA